UGCGUAGGUGGCGGGGUAAGUUUGAUGUGAAAGCUCCGAGCUUAACUCGGAAAUGGCAUUGAAUACUAUCUUGCUCGAGGUUUGGAGGGGGGACUGGAAUUCUCGGUGUAGCAGUGAAAUGCGUAGAUAUCGAGAGGAACACCAGUGGCGAAGGCGAGUCCCUGGACAACACCUGACACUAAGGCACGAAAGCUAGGGGAGCAAACA
Molecule: ribosomal RNA, 207 nt
Filed under: uncultured bacterium
Lineage: Bacteria
Description: partial 16S ribosomal RNA
Rfam family: Bacterial small subunit ribosomal RNA
Source: RNAcentral